UGAAUAAGCUGACAAGGCAAUAAUAUAAUAGUAAUGAAUCACUGUAAUCACGUGAUGCCCAUAUUUACGCGGCAAUAUUCCCAUAGACAAACCACUAAUAGACUUAGAGAGCAGUAUAGUAUUCUACUCAAUGGCGGCUACAAACUCUCCAGAAACAUUAGGUGAUGUCAGUGACCUACUCAAACGGCAAGACAAAGAUCGUUUCAAUAGAGUUCACAACCAAGACAGCUCAAAAAUAGUAGCUUUAAGUCAUGUGACACUGGAACAAAGUGGAGAGAGCUAUCGAUUCAGAUCAGAGACAGGAAAAGAUCAUGAACAUGCCGAGAUCGCCGUUGUACGGGAAGCAUCAGAAUGGCUUGAUAAGAUGAUGAAGGAUCUCACUGAACAAACAGAAAUAAGCCUCACCACAAUGGCUACCAGCAGUCCUUGUUUGGAAUGUCAGUCUGUAAUACUGAAGAUGCUCCUAGACUGGAGAGAGAAGCUUAAGCUUACUGUCAACUACAAGCUUCGUAUCAGCUACCUUUAUCAUGAUUUAGAAUCGACACUAACAGCAGCACCAAAGAAACGCCUUAAAGAUCCCAAAGUUAGACAAAACCUGAUGGCUUGGAUUCAGGCCAUAAAAGACAGUGGAGUCAAUUUUACACUAGAAGCAAUAUCAGUAUGUGAUGAACUCUAUCAGAUCAUAAAAUUCGUCAAGUUAAGUGCAAAUCAUGCCAACAAAGAGGGAGUUCAAAAACUGGUGGAGCUAAACCACUCAAGCGAAUCCGGGAGAAAUCAUCGUGCUCUGUAUGUGAGAGUAAGACACUAAUCAAAAAACUUAAACGAGAAAAGGCGGACUCAGCUAUUGCACAUAACGUUGACUGUGUUAACUCUUCACUAAGACACACUAAAUGGAUGAAUAUACAGCACCAAUAAGAAGAGAGCCUGACCUUUGUUGAGAGGAGCUGUACUGCCAUAACUUCAUUCGUAACUCAAGGACAGUCUUACUAUCAUCUCUGCUCUCAACCUACCACAUUUUCAGUUUGUUUUUAAUGUAAUUACAUGUAGGUACAUGUACCUAGCAUGCACAUAUCAGUUUGAAGGUACCUAG
Long non-coding RNA from Halichondria panicea, 1090 nucleotides. RefSeq lists it as uncharacterized. The transcript has 2 exons. The record is from RefSeq and is a predicted model, not a curated record. NCBI's taxonomy places the organism in Eukaryota, Metazoa, Porifera, Demospongiae, Suberitida, Halichondriidae.